UCAUUACUUAUGAAUAUAAGUUUGUAACGAUUAUGUGAAACUUUCUUAUAUUCUAGCAUCGGAUUUAUGCAUGCCAAUUAAGUGUCGAUCCUUAAUCAACAAAUACAAAUAAGUUAUCAAUCAAAUAGUUAAGCCAAUUGCAUUCACGAUUCAAGAGUUCAUAACUGGAAUUUGUCAAAUUAUAUUGCAAUAAACAUAGUUAUGGCUUUGAAAUAACCCCUAGCCAAGAGGAGUUUAGCCACUUAUAUUUACAACAAAACGAAAGAAAAUGAAUUUAAACAUUAGAAACAAAGGAAAGAAAACACCUAAACACUCCAACGAUCCAAGUUGGACAGCAAGCACGUCCAAGCACUUUCCUUCCCUUCCUUUGCUACGGCACAAGGUGUUGGUGAGUGUUUGAAGGUUUGUUUGUAUGGAGGAAUGGAUGUAAAGAUGAAUAGAUGUGUUUGGAUGAAGGUUGUAUUGAAAUGGGGAUGAAUGAUCAAGCAAAAACUGAACUCAAUUUAUGUUACACACACUUCCUUUUAUAGAGGAAGUGCAUGGCAAUGGAGGGGAACAUGGAGUGGUGUAGCAAUUAAGUGCAAUGAUGCAUGAAAUCUGAAAUGAUGGAGGGAACAAGGAAUGGUGUAGCAAUUGAGUGCAAUGAUUCAAUGUAAUGAUGCAUGAAAUCUGAAAUGAUGGAGGGAACAAGGAAUGGUGUAGCAAUUAGGUGCAAUGAUUCAAUGUAAUGAUGCAUGAAUCUAAAAUGAUGGAGGGAACAAGGAAUGGUGUAGCAAUUGAGUGCAAUGAUU
This 791-nucleotide long non-coding RNA is filed under the name Malus domestica (apple). Its description in RNAcentral is "long non-coding RNA (MDOM_LNC000695)". Lineage: Eukaryota; Viridiplantae; Streptophyta; Magnoliopsida; Rosales; Rosaceae. The record is from RNAcentral.